This 449-nucleotide ribosomal RNA is filed under the name uncultured bacterium. Its description in RNAcentral is "bacterial SSU rRNA". It matches the Rfam family "Bacterial small subunit ribosomal RNA", at positions 355 to 796 of the family's 1533-position model. The record is from RNAcentral.
UGGGGAAUAUUGGACAAUGGGGGCAACCCUGAUCCAGCAAUGCCGCGUGUGUGAAGAAGGCCUUCGGGUUGUAAAGCACUUUUGGCGGGGAGGAAGGUAUUUUGUUUAAGAGAUGAGAUAUUUGACUGUACCCGCAGAAUAAGCACCGGCUAACUCUGUGCCAGCAGCCGCGGUAAUACAGAGGGUGCAAGCGUUAAUCGGAAUUACUGGGCGUAAAGGGCGCGUAGGCGGUCAAGUAAGUGAGAUGUGAAAUCCCUGGGCUUAACCUAGGAAGGUCAUUUCAUACUGCGAGACUAGAGUAUUGUAGAGGGUAGUGGAAUUUCCGGUGUAGCGGUGAAAUGCGUAGAGAUCGGAAGGAACACCAGUGGCGAAGGCGGCUACCUGGACAAAUACUGACGCUGAAGCGCGAGAGCGUGGGGAGCAAACAGGAUUAGAUACCCCCGUAGUCC